This 492-nucleotide ribosomal RNA is filed under the name uncultured bacterium. RNAcentral's name for it is "partial 16S ribosomal RNA". It matches the Rfam family "Bacterial small subunit ribosomal RNA", at positions 30 to 507 of the family's 1533-position model. The record is from RNAcentral.
AUUGAACGCUGGCGGCAGGCCUAACACAUGCAAGUCGAGCGGUAACAGAAAGAAAGCUUGCUUUCUUUGCUGACGAGCGGCGGACGGGUGAGUAAUGCCUGGGAAUAUACCCUGAUGUGGGGGAUAACUAUUGGAAACGAUAGCUAAUACCGCAUAAUCUCUUCGGUGCAAAGAGGGGGACCUUCGGGCCUCUCGCGUCAGGAUUAGCCCAGGUGGGAUUAGCUAGUUGGUGGGGUAAUGGCUCACCAAGGCGACGAUCCCUAGCUGGUCUGAGAGGAUGAUCAGCCACACUGGAACUGAGACACGGUCCAGACUCCUACGGGAGGCAGCAGUGGGGAAUAUUGCACAAUGGGGGAAACCCUGAUGCAGCCAUGCCGCGUGUAUGAAGAAGGCCUUCGGGUUGUAAAGUACUUUCAGUUGUGAGGAAGGCGUUGGAGUUAAUAGCUUCAGCGCUUGACGUUAGCAACAGAAGAAGCACCGGCUAACUCCGUG